GAAAGAAACAAGGAAACAUGCAUUCAUAGGGGCCAGCCAGGAGAAUGACAGGUUGGGUGGAGAGGUGGUAAGACAGGCUGCAAGCAGCCUGGGGCUCUGGGGUUCAGCAGCCCUAGGUGACAUUGGCCUAGUCACUUUCCCUCCUGAGCCCCAGUUUUCUCAAGUGUAGAAUGGAAAUGCUAACACCUCUCUUGUAGGAUUAUGGAGAAGAACAAAUGAGCCAGCCUGGAGCACAGAGUCCGGCCCAUGGACAUGCAAUAAUCAGCCAGAAUGCUGGUUUCAGGAGCCUUCAUGCAAGCACUAAAUCCACCUAAUUGCUUUGAAAAGCAUGGGGUAGAUAAAUAUCCCAUCAGCCCACCGCUGUAAUAACACCAGUGACAUUUAUGCCUGAGAUGAAGAAUGCAGGAUGAACGGUGAUCAGACCCCAGGGCCGACGGGAAGGAAGAGACCCAAUCUAGCAGGAGAGAGCUGUGCACAGCAGUCCACCUUCAGAGGAGCAGUAACCUUCUGUCCAGGGACACAGGCAGCCCAAGGUAACCUCCCAGGAAGGGAGCCCCAUGGCUCCUCUGUCUCUCGAAACUUCUCUUAUGCUCCACAUUAGCUGACAUGAUCAGAAGCUCAAGGGCAAUGGGCUCGUUGAUUCGGUCCACAGCCCUGCCUUUCUCACCACCACCUGGACCCCCGAGAUAUUCUUUCCCCUUCCUCUUUGCGUGGCCAACUCUUAGCUGACCUGAUGAAAUCAUGACCUACUGAAACAUUCAGAAAGAUGUAGAGAAUAAAAAUCAGACACUCGUGUACCCA
Molecule: long non-coding RNA, 801 nt
Filed under: Vulpes vulpes (red fox)
Lineage: Eukaryota; Metazoa; Chordata; Mammalia; Carnivora; Canidae
Description: lncRNA (ENSVVUG00000020553.1)
Source: RNAcentral